CAGCCGCCACGGUAAUACGAAGGGUGCAAGCGUUACUCGGAAUUACUGGGCGUAAAGGGAGCGUAGGCGGACAUUUAAGUCAGGGGUGAAAUCCCAGAGCUCAACUCUGGAACUGCCUUUGAUACUGGGUGUCUUGAGUGUGAUAGAGGUAUGUGGAACUCCGAGUGUAGAGGUGAAAUUCGUAGAUAUUCGGAAGAACACCAGUGGCGAAGGCGACAUACUGGAUCAUUACUGACGCUGAGGCUCGAAAGCGUGGGGAGCAAACAGGAUUAGAUACCCGUGUAGUCCCUGUCUCUUAUAC
This 301-nucleotide ribosomal RNA is filed under the name uncultured bacterium. RNAcentral's name for it is "partial 16S ribosomal RNA". It matches the Rfam family "Bacterial small subunit ribosomal RNA", at positions 509 to 807 of the family's 1533-position model. The record is from RNAcentral.